RNAcentral lists this ribosomal RNA (1009 nucleotides) under Salmonella enterica subsp. enterica serovar Bredeney. RNAcentral describes it as "bacterial SSU rRNA". It matches the Rfam family "Bacterial small subunit ribosomal RNA", at positions 125 to 1134 of the family's 1533-position model. The record is from RNAcentral. Lineage: Bacteria; Pseudomonadati; Pseudomonadota; Gammaproteobacteria; Enterobacterales; Enterobacteriaceae.
ACUGCCUGAUGGAGGGGGAUAACUACUGGAAACGGUGGCUAAUACCGCAUAACGUCGCAAGACCAAAGAGGGGGACCUUCGGGCCUCUUGCCAUCAGAUGUGCCCAGAUGGGAUUAGCUUGUUGGUGAGGUAACGGCUCACCAAGGCGACGAUCCCUAGCUGGUCUGAGAGGAUGACCAGCCACACUGGAACUGAGACACGGUCCAGACUCCUACGGGAGGCAGCAGUGGGGAAUAUUGCACAAUGGGCGCAAGCCUGAUGCAGCCAUGCCGCGUGUAUGAAGAAGGCCUUCGGGUUGUAAAGUACUUUCAGCGGGGAGGAAGGUGUUGUGGUUAAUAACCGCAGCAAUUGACGUUACCCGCAGAAGAAGCACCGGCUAACUCCGUGCCAGCAGCCGCGGUAAUACGGAGGGUGCAAGCGUUAAUCGGAAUUACUGGGCGUAAAGCGCACGCAGGCGGUCUGUCAAGUCGGAUGUGAAAUCCCCGGGCUCAACCUGGGAACUGCAUUCGAAACUGGCAGGCUUGAGUCUUGUAGAGGGGGGUAGAAUUCCAGGUGUAGCGGUGAAAUGCGUAGAGAUCUGGAGGAAUACCGGUGGCGAAGGCGGCCCCCUGGACAAAGACUGACGCUCAGGUGCGAAAGCGUGGGGAGCAAACAGGAUUAGAUACCCUGGUAGUCCACGCCGUAAACGAUGUCUACUUGGAGGUUGUGCCCUUGAGGCGUGGCUUCCGGAGCUAACGCGUUAAGUAGACCGCCUGGGGAGUACGGCCGCAAGGUUAAAACUCAAAUGAAUUGACGGGGGCCCGCACAAGCGGUGGAGCAUGUGGUUUAAUUCGAUGCAACGCGAAGAACCUUACCUGGUCUUGACAUCCACGGAAGUUUUCAGAGAUGAGAAUGUGCCUUCGGGAACCGUGAGACAGGUGCUGCAUGGCUGUCGUCAGCUCGUGUUGUGAAAUGUUGGGUUAAGUCCCGCAACGAGCGCAACCCUUAUCCUUUGUUGCCAGCGGUCCGG